CAGAGCUCUGCCUGUAUUUUGAAAAGAAAUCUGCUGGGACAAGAACUAAGAAAAUGAAAUACAAGACAGGAGCUCAGAAAGUGAGAGUAUGCAUAAGAGAAUAAAGGAAGGAGAGUCGAAUGGGAUAAAUAAAACAGUUGGAUACAAGAAAGCAAGAAAGCACACGGCUGCAAGCUAAAAGAGAAAUCUCAUUGCCAACUCAGAAGAAACUCCUGAGGCUGAUUACAAGAUUCAAAUCAUCUGCAGGUCUGUGCAUUAUUACCUAACUGCAGCCAUAUGAACCUGCAUGUAAGAAGACACAGAGGUUUUUAAAUCAAGUACACAAAGAAGAAAACAUCUCCAGAUUUUUCAUUCAGUUCUCCUAACUUUGCAAGAAAAAUAUUUCCCAUACCAGCUAAGGAGAAAUUCCAGUCAUUUACAUCCAGGAAGCUGAUUGUUGAGUGAACUGAAAGAGUGACAAGAACCAAAACAGAAAGUUGCCAGAUACACCAAGAAGCUAAAGUGGUUUGGUUUCAUUAUUUGAGUGAAAUUAGAAUCACUCAACCCUCACAUCACAAGAUAAUUAUGCAUUAUGCAUGUCAAGUAGAAGUGUGCACCUAUACGCUGUUCUUUGCUUUUCAUAAGAUUUGCCUUAAUAUUCUGUUGUUUUAAACUAGUGUGCACAGUAAUUAUUGCCUGUGGUGUCUCCUUGUUAUUUCUGAUUUCUCUGUUCAAUUAACCUUGGGGACCAUACCUGCAUUGUAAAUCACAGUGAUUCCUGUAAGUCUCAGUGCAUUAAUUUUCCUACUCAUUCUUCAGGGAAAGGUGUGGUGUACCUUUCAUAGAAGAAGCCAGAGACACUAUGCCCUUUAAACUGAAGAUGGUCACAAUCUCUGCAGGUGUCCCUUGUCUCUUUUCUAUUAUCUAGCUCCCUCUGGCCCCAAAUAUCAACACAGCUUCCAAAAACCUUCUUCUGACUAGACUGACUGUGGUUGUCAUGCCCUCACUUACACCAUCCCUGCGCUUCUUAUUUCCCAGAGAUGGAAACCUACAGAGUAGUUUCCACAGGGUCAGCACAUUGAAAUCUGAAGGCAGAAAUCCUAUUUUCACAGGCACAAGCUUUGUUCUGCCUUUGCAGUUUGCCUUACAUAUUGGGGUUUUGCUCUGUUAGGGCUUGAGGGGGAGGGGCUUGUGUGGAGGUUUUUUUUUUUUUUAAUAAUAGGGAGAUCAGCACAAAAACAAAAUCUCAUAUUCACCAAUGAAGAAGACUGUGUAUGUUUUGUUGCAUACAUUUACUGAGAGCCAUUGCCACUCAGCUAGGCUGAAAUUUUCUGUCUGCAUAAAAUGUCAGCAGCAGGUUUCAUUUUAAAAUUGGAAAUUAAUAUUCUAAAGAGGAGAUGAAGUUAGAAACCCAGGAAGAAUAAUAAUUGUUUCACUAAUCUUCAUUUCUAUUUGUAAGAAUGAGGACAUGUCUACUCAGCAAGGCUAAAGCUGAAAUA
This is a long non-coding RNA of Pelodiscus sinensis (Chinese soft-shelled turtle), 1478 nucleotides long. RefSeq lists it as uncharacterized. NCBI's taxonomy places the organism in Eukaryota, Metazoa, Chordata, Testudines, Trionychidae. The record is from RefSeq and is a predicted model, not a curated record.